GAUGAACGCUGGCGGCGUGCCUAAUACAUGCAAGUCGAGCGAACAGACGAGGAGCUUGCUCCUCUGACGUUAGCGGCGGACGGGUGAGUAACACGUGGAUAACCUACCUAUAAGACUGGGAUAACUUCGGGAAACCGGAGCUAAUACCGGAUAAUAUAUUGAACCGCAUGGUUCAAUAGUGAAAGACGGUUUUGCUGUCACUUAUAGAUGGAUCCGCGCCGCAUUAGCUAGUUGGUAAGGUAACGGCUUACCAAGGCAACGAUGCGUAGCCGACCUGAGAGGGUGAUCGGCCACACUGGAACUGGGACACGGUCCAGACUCCUACGGGAGGCAGCAGUAGGGAAGUGUACGCAAGGGGCGAAAGCCUGACGGAGCAACGCCGCGUGAGUGAUGAAGGUCUUCGGAUCGUAAAACUCUGUUAUUAGGGAAGAACAAAUGUGUAAGUAACUAUGCACGUCUUGACGGUACCUAAUCAGAAAGCCACGGCUAACUACGUG
Molecule: ribosomal RNA, 497 nt
Filed under: uncultured bacterium
Lineage: Bacteria
Description: partial 16S ribosomal RNA
Rfam family: Bacterial small subunit ribosomal RNA
Source: RNAcentral